UACAGAGGUCUCAAGCGUUGUCCGGAAUCAUUGGGCGUAAAGAGCGUGUAGGCGGCCUGGUAAGUCCGCUGUGAAAGUCCAGGGCUCAACCCUGGAAUGCCGGUGGAAACUGUCAGGCUCGAGUCCGGAAGAGGCGAGUGGAAUUCCUGGUGUAGCGGUGAAAUGCGCAGAUAUCAGGAGGAACACCAAUGGCGAAGGCAGCUCGCUGGGACGGUACUGACGCUGAGACGCGAAAGCGUGGGGAGCAAACAGG
Molecule: ribosomal RNA, 253 nt
Filed under: uncultured bacterium
Lineage: Bacteria
Description: partial 16S ribosomal RNA
Rfam family: Bacterial small subunit ribosomal RNA
Source: RNAcentral